CACGCAGGCGGAUCGGUAAGUCAGAUGUGAAAUCCCGGAGCUCAACUCCGGAACUGCAUUUGAUACUGCCAGUCUUGAGUGAGGUAGAGGGGGGUGGAAUUCCCGGUGUAGAGGUGAAAUUCGUAGAUAUCGGGAGGAACACCAGAGGCGAAGGCGACCCCCUGGGCCUUUACUGACGCUGAGGUGCGAAAGCGUGGGGAGCAAACAG
RNAcentral lists this ribosomal RNA (208 nucleotides) under uncultured bacterium. RNAcentral's name for it is "partial 16S ribosomal RNA". It matches the Rfam family "Bacterial small subunit ribosomal RNA", at positions 568 to 775 of the family's 1533-position model. The record is from RNAcentral.